AAACACCACGCUUAUGUUCCGACAUACUCACUGAACUAGGCUCCAUAGCCUCUCUUCACUCCCGGCCCCCUGGGUGAGACAGCAGUCGUAUUCUGUUGGUCAGCCUGUACACACCUGCAUCCCCAGCUGGACCUCUAAUCCUCGCCCCCUCCUUCUCUCCCUCCCUCCCUCCCCCCUUGCUCCACAGUGCUCUACUCCCAGCUGCCUGGGCUAUUUAUAGGCCCUGUUUCAUUUCCACACCUGCAGGGAGGCAGAGUUGUCACAGUGGGCCCACAGAGCCUCUCUGGAAUACUGCAUGGGAUUGAAUAUGCACCUUGCUGAUGCAGGAACUUAUUCUUGUCACUCUCUCCCCGCGGACUCGCACGAUACUAUUUUGUUGUGGAUGUGCAGUGCAGUAUGCGGUCCAAAGAUAACGUGUAAAUAAGAUUCCUGUGCGAGGAGUGUGAGGUAUAUUGACAUGGAUUACACUUUUUAAAUAAUUAUUGGGCUGAGGAUCCAGUCAGCGGAUUACAUUAUCAGUCUGACCUAGUUGCCAGCUAUCUCCUGAGACCUGAGGAGCCAGGCUUUCUGCACAGCCUUCCGCUGCUACAACACGCACACUGUGUAACUUUAAUUUAUCAGGGGGAAGAGGAGGGAGAAAUGUGACAGGUUGACAGUUCUCUUUGCCUGCCACUCCGAGCACUCUCUCUCCCCACAGCGUGCCGGUUAAGGGUCCUUGCUAUGGUACAGUGCAUUACUGAGAGUGACUUUUAUUCAGCGCGCUGGAAACUCAUCAGCCAGGUUCCUCUUAUUAACGUGCACAUUUAAGGCGAGACUCGCAGAGAAUGACAUGAUUCAGGAUGUGAGCAAGGAGCUUACAUUUCUGUAUUUGUUCCUUGAUUAAA
Long non-coding RNA from Micropterus dolomieu (smallmouth bass), 884 nucleotides. RefSeq lists it as uncharacterized. NCBI's taxonomy places the organism in Eukaryota, Metazoa, Chordata, Actinopteri, Centrarchiformes, Centrarchidae. The record is from RefSeq and is a predicted model, not a curated record. The transcript has 3 exons.